AGAGGGGGCAAGCGUUGCUCGGAAUUACUGGGCGUAAAGGGCGCGUAGGCGGGAUGGCAAGUCGGUCGUGAAAUCCCUCGGCUCAACCGAGGAGCGUCGAUCGAUACUGCCGUUCUUGAGGGUUGCAGAGGAGACUGGAAUUCCCGGUGUAGCGGUGAAAUGUGUAGAGAUCGGGAGGAACACCGGUGGCGAAGGCGGGUCUCUGGGCAACUCCUGACGCUGAGGCGCGAAAGCGUGGGGAGCAAACGGGAUUAGAUACCCCGGUAGUCCACGCUGUAAACGAUGACGACUAGGUGUGGGGGGGUUCAGUCCCCUCCGUGCCGCAGCUAACGCAUUAAGUCGUCCGCCUGGGGAGUACGGCCGCAAGGUUG
This 371-nucleotide ribosomal RNA is filed under the name uncultured bacterium. RNAcentral's name for it is "bacterial SSU rRNA". It matches the Rfam family "Bacterial small subunit ribosomal RNA", at positions 527 to 896 of the family's 1533-position model. The record is from RNAcentral.